RNAcentral lists this ribosomal RNA (900 nucleotides) under Triticum aestivum (bread wheat). Its description in RNAcentral is "partial small subunit ribosomal RNA". Lineage: Eukaryota; Viridiplantae; Streptophyta; Magnoliopsida; Poales; Poaceae. The record is from RNAcentral.
AUGCACCUUGUCAAUCCCAUCACCGGUGAACAGAUUGAUCUCCCUUCGGUGAUCACCAUUGAGCAAGUGAAGCCCGUCUAUAGUGACUCUGGUGCUCUUCACAAGUACGAGUUCUCAUGGCACUCCGCAGCAAGGGUUUACGGUCCGCCAUCGGUCUCGGCUCCGGAAGAGCUGAGGAGCAAGCUUCACCAUAAAGCCUUUGUGUUUUCUGACGAUACGUGCAAUGGAUACAUUGUGGUGCUCAUACACAAUCCAUUUUGCCAGCUCUCGUUUGCAAGGGCAGGGGGUGACAGUUGGAUAUGGCUGCCACCACACACCCACUAUGACGAUUGCAUUUACAGGAACGGCCUGCUGUAUGCGGUCACUUCAUUUGGAGAGAUUCAUGCUUUCGAUCUAAGUAGCCCUGUUCUUACGGUAAGGAUGAUUACAUGGGAGCCCGAGCUUGAGGACCAGUUACUGAAUACUUACAUUGUACAAGCUCCAUGGGGAAAUCUUCUUAAAGUGUGGAGAUUAUAUGAGAACUGUGAUUUAGAACCGGGGCCUGGGGCAUGUGUGUUUUGGAACACUGGAAAACUUAUAAUAUAUGAAGUCGGUGCUUCAGGAAAGAAAAUUAAGAAAAUCAGUUGCUUGCGCGACCAUGUGUUGUUUCUUGGGCACAAUCAAACACUUUGUCUUACUGCUGAAGACUAUCCAGCUCUCAAGGGAAACCAUGCCUACUUUACCGAUGACAGUGUGCUUUGGACAAAGGGAUUCAAGAACAAUCCCCGUGAUAUCGGAAUUCUCGACUUGGGUAAUAACAGCAGGGAGGAACUUUUGUCUUCCCAGCUUUGGUCCAACUGCCCGGCUCCCGUGUGGAUUACACCCAAUCUUAGAAAGAUAAAUUUGGCUUUCAAUGAAUAG